Molecule: ribosomal RNA, 253 nt
Filed under: uncultured bacterium
Lineage: Bacteria
Description: partial 16S ribosomal RNA
Rfam family: Bacterial small subunit ribosomal RNA
Source: RNAcentral
UACGGAGGGUGCAAGCGUUGUUCGGAUUUACUGGGCGUAAAGCGCGCGUAGGCGGACCUGCAAGUCGGGGGUGAAAGCCCGAGGCUCAACCUCGGAACUGCCUUCGAUACUGCGGGUCUCGAGUCCGGAAGAGGAGAAUGGAAUUCCCGGUGUAGCGGUGAAAUGCGCAGAUAUCGGGAAGAACACCCGUGGCGAAGGCGGUUCUCUGGGACGGUACUGACGCUGAGACGCGAAAGCGUGGGGAGCGAACAGG